CUUAAUGUGAUCCUGGCUCAGGACGAACGCUGGCGGCGUGCCUAAUACAUGCAAGUUGAGCGAUGAAGAUUGGUGCUUGCACCAAUUUGAAGAGCAGCGAACGGGUGAGUAACGCGUGGGGAAUCUGCCUUUGAGCGGGGGACAACAUUUGGAAACGAAUGCUAAUACCGCAUAACAACUUUAAACACAAGUUUUAAGUUUGAAAGAUGCAAUUGCAUCACUCAAAGAUGAUCCCGCGUUGUAUUAGCUAGUUGGUGAGGUAAAGGCUCACCAAGGCGAUGAUACAUAGCCGACCUGAGAGGGUGAUCGGCCACAUUGGGACUGAGACACGGCCCAAACUCCUACGGGAGGCAGCAGUAGGGAAUCUUCGGCAAUGGACGAAAGUCUGACCGAGCAACGCCGCGUGAGUGAAGAAGGUUUUCGGAUCGUAAAACUCUGUUGGUAGAGAGAGAACGUUGGUGAGAGUGAAAGCAUCAUCAAGUGAUCGUACUACCAGAAGC
RNAcentral lists this ribosomal RNA (500 nucleotides) under Lactococcus cremoris. Its description in RNAcentral is "bacterial SSU rRNA". It matches the Rfam family "Bacterial small subunit ribosomal RNA", at positions 1 to 491 of the family's 1533-position model. Lineage: Bacteria; Bacillati; Bacillota; Bacilli; Lactobacillales; Streptococcaceae. The record is from RNAcentral.